Molecule: ribosomal RNA, 253 nt
Filed under: uncultured bacterium
Lineage: Bacteria
Description: partial 16S ribosomal RNA
Rfam family: Bacterial small subunit ribosomal RNA
Source: RNAcentral
GACGAGCCACACAACCGUUAUUCGGAAUUACUGGGCUUAAAGGGUGCGUAGGCGGCGCGGUAAGUCGGGUGUGAAAUCUCGGAGCUUAACUCCGAAACUGCAUUCGAUACUGCCGUGCUUGAGGACUGGAGAGGAGACUGGAAUUUACGGUGUAGCGGUGAAAUGCGUAGAUAUCGUAAGGAAGACCAGUGGCGAAGGCGGGUCUCUGGACAGUUCCUGACGCUGAGGCACGAAGGUCAGGGGAGCAAACGGG